This is a long non-coding RNA of Bombyx mori (domestic silkworm), 936 nucleotides long. RefSeq lists it as uncharacterized. The transcript is spliced from 2 exons. Lineage: Eukaryota; Metazoa; Arthropoda; Insecta; Lepidoptera; Bombycidae. The record is from RefSeq and is a predicted model, not a curated record.
AGUGUGUGAAAAAAAAUCCUAAAAACAUGGCGCCGGUGCAAAAACGAUAAAAUUGUGUUUUUUGUUUAUCAAUCAGCACAUAUAAGUCUCGCCAGUGAGAAAAUAGAAAAUUCCAUCAACGAACUACGGACCAAUUCCAUGCAGUCGCCUCUAAACAUCUAAAGACACUGUUUUAUUCUCUCGAUUUAUUAGAAAAGAAUUUCGGGGGAUGGACUCAUUCUUGGUAUUAGAAAAUAUAUUCUAGAUUUUAUCAAAAGACCGUAGCUGAAAUUAAUUGACUGUAUAUACAUAGACUAGUAAUUCUGGUAAAAAUAAUAAUUUCAACAAUUUUGAUUAAAAAUUUUAGUAAGCUACAUUUCUAUUUCUCCUCUAUUUCAAUUUGCUUACCAUCGACUGGAUACUUUUAAAAAAUUACUGUAUAUACGACAACUAAGCUUUUGCCCGCGACUUCGUUCGCAUGGAAUAGUUUUGGAGCCUUUGGGAUAACGCAAAAUUUUACCCGCGACUUAAUUUACCUACGUAAAAGGUGAAAAUAUUUUUGAAUAAUAGUUAAGAGGAAUUGUAAAUAAAACAAACAAAUUAUAUACAUCAAUAUAUUUUACAUUGUUGUCUUUAAAUCAACUCGACUAUUCCGAAGUUCCUCAAAAUAUAAAAAAGACAAAACAAAAAAUAAGACAUAUGAGAUCUUUUACUUACUAAUAAGAAAAAUUUACAUUUUAUUAAUUGCGGAACUAAGAACAUCAGAAUCUUAUUAUUCAAUCUAAAAACAUUAUUGCGGAGAGGGCUUUACUGAAGUCGUGCGUUAAUUCGUUAAAAAUUAAAUGCUACCAAAACCAUCGAUAAAAAUGUUCAUCGCAUCAUAUUGGCAACAUUAACUAGCACGUGCAACAUCAUAUUUCAUCAAAACAACACCAACAAAAAAAUUAUUUAAAAAUA